This 384-nucleotide ribosomal RNA is filed under the name uncultured bacterium. Its description in RNAcentral is "bacterial SSU rRNA". It matches the Rfam family "Bacterial small subunit ribosomal RNA", at positions 30 to 416 of the family's 1533-position model. The record is from RNAcentral.
AUUGAACGCUGGCGGCAUGCCUUACACAUGCAAGUCGAACGGCAGCGGACCUUCGGGUGCCGGCGAGUGGCGAACGGGUGAGUAAUAUAUCGGAACGUACCUUUCAGUGGGGGAUAACGUAGCGAAAGUUACGCUAAUACCGCAUAUUCUGUGAGCAGGAAAGCAGGGGAUCGCAAGACCUUGCGCUGAUUGAGCGGCCGAUAUCAGAUUAGCUAGUUGGUGAGGUAAAGGCUCACCAAGGCGACGAUCUGUAGCGGGUCUGAGAGGAUGAUCCGCCACACUGGGACUGAGACACGGCCCAGACUCCUACGGGAGGCAGCAGUGGGGAAUUUUGGACAAUGGGCGCAAGCCUGAUCCAGCCAUGCCGCGUGCGGGACGAAGGCC